CCUACGGGAGGCAGCAGUGAGGAAUAUUGGUCAAUGGGCGAGAGCCUGAACCAGCCAAGUCGCGUGAAGGAUGAAGGCCCUACGGGUCGUAAACCUCUUUUGUCAGGGAGCAAUUGCGUCCACGUGUGGGCUUAGCGAGAGUACCUGAAGAAAAAGCAUCGGCUAACUCCGUGCCAGCAGCCGCGGUAAUACGGAGGAUGCGAGCGUUAUCCGGAUUUAUUGGGUUUAAAGGGUGCGUAGGCGGAACAUUAAGUCAGCGGUAAAAAUUCGGGGCUCAACCCCGUCGAGCCGUUGAAACUGGGGUUCUUGAGUGAGCGAGAAGUAUGCGGAAUGCGUGGUGUAGCGGUGAAAUGCAUAGAUAUCACGCAGAACCCCGAUUGCGAAGGCAGCAUACCGGCGCCCAACUGACGCUGAGGCACGAAAGCGUGGGUAUCGAACAGGAUUAGAUACCCGAGUAGUC
This 460-nucleotide ribosomal RNA is filed under the name uncultured bacterium. RNAcentral describes it as "partial 16S ribosomal RNA". It matches the Rfam family "Bacterial small subunit ribosomal RNA", at positions 338 to 795 of the family's 1533-position model. The record is from RNAcentral.